UGGGGAAUAUUGCACAAUGGAGGGAACUUUGAUGCAGCGACGCCGCGUGAACGAAGAAGGCUUUCGAGUCGUAAAGUUCUUUUAUAUGGGAAGAUAAUGACGGUACCAUAAGAAAAAGCCCCGGCUAACUACGUGCCAGCAGCCGCGGUAAUACGUAGGGGGCUAGCGUUUUCCGGAAUCACUGGGCGUAAAGGGUUCGCAGGCGGAAAUGCAAGUCAGGUGUAAAAGGCAGUAGCUUAACUACUGUAAGCAUUUGAAACUGCAUAUCUUGGGAAGAGGAGAAGUAAGUGGAAUUUUUAGUGUAGCGGUGAAAUGCGUAGAUAUUAAAAAGAAUACCGGUGGCGAAGGCGACUUACUGGGCUCAUUCUGACGCUGAGGAACGAAAGCGUGGGUAGCAAACAGG
RNAcentral lists this ribosomal RNA (403 nucleotides) under Verrucomicrobiota bacterium. RNAcentral's name for it is "Verrucomicrobia bacterium partial 16S ribosomal RNA". It matches the Rfam family "Bacterial small subunit ribosomal RNA", at positions 355 to 776 of the family's 1533-position model. Lineage: Bacteria; Pseudomonadati; Verrucomicrobiota. The record is from RNAcentral.